Long non-coding RNA from Zingiber officinale, 726 nucleotides. RefSeq lists it as uncharacterized. The transcript has 2 exons. The record is from RefSeq and is a predicted model, not a curated record. NCBI's taxonomy places the organism in Eukaryota, Viridiplantae, Streptophyta, Magnoliopsida, Zingiberales, Zingiberaceae.
CAUUAUGAGACUUUGGAUGGGAUUCAAAGUUCACACAUCUCUCUCAGUAAAAGACAGACACCGGCAGGACAUUUAUAGAGCUUGUGCCAGCUUAACUUUUCUUCUGGGAUGCAGAGAGUGGUCACCUCAUUUGGUUGAUUCCAGGCACAAGGACAAGUGAAAGCAAUGUGAUAUAGAACUCAUGAGGAAUGGAUGCCCCAUGGCUUGUGAUAUGUUUCCAGGGCCUAAACCCCAAGAGCCCCCCUGCCCUACUCAAAAAGCCUCUGGUCCAAUGCCAACAUGCAGAUUUUUAGGACUCGCUGAGGAGGGGUGAUGACAGAGAAAUAUGAUUCACAAAGGAGACAGUCAUACUGCUGUGCAGGCCAGGAAGGUCGUACGGUGCCCCAACAUGGCCGUUGGAAUGCUGAUAUGUUAACAUCGUGCUGGUUACCGACAACAUAGAGGAAGUAUGAGGCACUGAGUGACUCCAAAUUGAUGGUCAUCCAAAUACCAGGGGAGUAGAAGGCGAAGGAAAGUAACAUGAUCACUUUAUCGGUAGAAGGUCACUUAACAUAGAGCAAAUCAAACACAACCUCUGAUUUGUUUGGCUUAUCACUUUUCUCAUUUCGAUGCAAAAUGUUCUCUGAGAAAUGACCUCUUCAUUGAAUGAGUAAGAUUCUGCAUGUUGUAUCCGUAUGAGGAUGUUCUUAAUAGAAUUUCAAGAGGAGCCUCAUCCAUGAUGACAUU